Molecule: RNA transcript, 2949 nt
Organism: Nematostella vectensis (starlet sea anemone)
Lineage: Eukaryota; Metazoa; Cnidaria; Anthozoa; Actiniaria; Edwardsiidae
Gene name: 52 kDa repressor of the inhibitor of the protein kinase-like
Exons: 5
Source: RefSeq, a predicted model, not a curated record
CAUGUUGACUCAUUGACGGCUGAUUGAUAACUGAUUGCUCUCGAGCCCGGGGGUGAAGUGUGACAUAUAGACAAAAGAAAACAUGAUAUACCCAGGCCCGUGCCCAGGGGGGUUGCAAGGGGUGCGAAUGUGAUAGUUGUAGACAAAACUAUGAAGUAUAGGCCUAUUAGAUGCGAUAGAAAUUAAAUAAAAUAAAAAAAACGAAAAAACAAUUAUAGAUUCUGUAAUAAAUCUAUAAGUCAAACUUUAAUGCAUAAGCAUUAACUUGCAUAAUUUAAACUUGACUUCUUUGUAGCCAAAACCGAUAAUAAACGUUCCGUGGAGAUAAAAAUAUCUGGUUUAAUUUUGGUUCUUUGGAAGUGGAAUUUUUAUCAGAAAAAAUUAAACUCCCCUUGAACAAAAGAGAAUAUAUAUAGGCACACCCAAUCAAAGAUACCUCGCGUGAAUUACAUACUGGAAAGAUACGAUGUAUGGCGCGAAACUAAAUUGCGACCCUGACGGCAUUUUGCACAAUGAGGAGAAGAGAAGAAGCUAGAAAGCGAAAAGCUUGAUUCCUGGGUUGAUCGGAUAGUCAAAGGCAAGAAAAAGGGUCGUUCGAAGACAGUCUAGAUGGAAGUGGAACGACCACAGGUAGGUUCUAACACAAAAAUAAUUCAGCACGUGUUGACUCAAAUUCUACAUUUACUUAGGCGCUGUUCUAUAACAACUUUUUGGUUCGUAAACAGAUAGCCGUCAACUUACCAGCACUUAGGCGGGUGUCACAAGAUUUUGGACCUCAUCACAAGCCUAAUUUUUGUUUGAUAUUUGGAUCAAAGAUCUCAAUGUUCUUUAAACUUUUUUCAAUAGUCUUUUGUCUUUUUCUUUUCCUCUAGCUCGCUGCAUCACAUUAUUUUCAAUGAGAAACCCUCUCUCCUCACAGGGAAAACAUCAAGCGUCCAAGUGUCUCCAAGAGUGCAUGAUCAGCGGGCAGCGUCUUAGACAGGCAAUCGAGAAUCCAGCGAAAUCUGUAAACACCCUCCUUGAUGAAGAAAAGAGACGCAACAUAGAGCGCAACAAGCACAUAAUCAAAUGUGUUGCGGAAGCAGUGCGCUUUUGCGGUCGCCAAUGCAUUGCCUUGAGUGGUGGUGGAGUCAGGUGUUAACAGCAAAGACGAGCAUGCAUAUCAGCUCAAUAGAAAUGUGGGCAACUUUGUGGCAGCCCUUCAAAUGAUUGCCAAUCACGACGCUGUCCUAGACCAGCACCUCACUGCCACUGGAAUGAGAAAUAGGAACGCCGCGGAUACAGAAUGAAAUCAUUGAGAUAAUUGGCAACGAUAUGAUACUAGAUGGUCUCUUGGACAAGAUCAGGGCUACAAAGUUCUUCAGCAUAAAGGCUGAUGAAGUCACAAGCAACAACAAGGAACAGCUAGCUUUGUGUAUCUGUUUCGUCGACGGCAGUCAAGUGCACGAAGAAUUUAUCGGUUUCAUCCACCUACAGAAAAAACAGGCCAAGAAAUAGCCAAUGUCAUAUUGGAAAAGCUGCAGAGUCUCGGUCUGGACCCGAAAAAUAUCCGUGGUCAGGGUUAUGAUGAAGCUGCUAAUAUGUCAAGCGACAACGUUGGGAGUCCAGCGCAAAAUCAAGAAGCGCCCAAAGCAGUUUAUGUGCAUUACAGUGGACAUUGCCUUAACUUGUUUAUCGCCCAUAGUUGUCACCAACAAAGCAUUACGAGUGCAAUCGAUAAACUAAAGCAAUGCAGUCUGUUCUUCUUAGAAGUCCAAAACGAGAAGGUCUUCUUAACUUUCGAAAAGGCGGUAGAUGACGCGGAUCGCCGCAAGGCUCUUGUGUAUAUGUGUCGGACAAGAUGGGCGGCCCGCCACAAUGCAUACACACAUUUCUAUCAGUCAUUUACCUUUAUAAUCACUUCUUUGGAGAAUAUCAUUUAUGGAGCUAAUAGCGAACUGAUGGGUGGGGAGCACCAAGAUGCAUCAUGGGACAGGAGGAGCAAGGACAACGCAGCCUCUUUGCUGGCAAGUCUUACCUCCUUUUACUUCAUUGUCUCCUUCCUAGUACUCUACGAGUUUCUAUCACACUUGGCGGGAAUAACUGUGAAGUUGCAAGGCAGAGCUGUAGACAUUUUUAAAGUUCCUACAAGUGAAGGAGACCUAUGAGGUGUUGUCAUCAAAGAUGGAUGAGACGUUCUCCCAUAUAUACACCCACGCUGUGCGAAUGGCUGACAUCAUAAAUACUGCUCCAUCGAUGCCGCGUCUUGUUGGGAGACAGGUUCAUCACGUGAACGCCCCGGCUGUUAAUCCCGAGGAGCAUUAUAGGCGUAAUGUUGCAAUCCCCUUCAUGAACCACAUCCAGUCGGAACUGGAAGAACAAUUCUCAGGUCUGUCAGUACAUGCCUCGAGGCUCCAUUGCUUUGUCCCAUCCAUCCUUUGUGAGAAGUUUCCAGACGAAGAGGCCGAGGCCAUCCUCGAUACAUACAAAGAUGAUCUCCCCUCUCUGGAACUCUUGCACCAAGAAUUGGUCCGAUUCAAGAUAAGAUACGACGCGAAACAGUGCAAUGACAGACCAAGUACCGCAGUCCAAGCUCUAAAGGAGUGUGAUAGGGACAUGUUCCCUAAUAUCUCCACGCUGCUACAGAUCUGUUGCACUAUACCAGCUACAAGCUGCGAGUGCGAGAGAAGCGCGAGUGCACUUCGACGCCUCCACACGUACAACAGAUCGUGCAUGGGGCAAGAGAGGCUGUCGGCAUUGGCCCUUUAUCCAUUGUCACUACGACACCGACGUCGACCUGGAUCAAGUGAUCAAUCAGUUUGCAAGAAAACACCCUAGAAAAAUUGACCUUGGAACCAUGCUUAAAGAUUAAUUUUGGGCAGAAGAUCAACAGAAUCAUAUACAGCCAGUAGCGGUCAAGGCCAUGUGUAUAGAUAUGAAAGAAAUAAAAGAGAACACAUUUAUCCGUCA